Long non-coding RNA from Syngnathoides biaculeatus (alligator pipefish), 2661 nucleotides. RefSeq lists it as uncharacterized. The record is from RefSeq and is a predicted model, not a curated record. NCBI's taxonomy places the organism in Eukaryota, Metazoa, Chordata, Actinopteri, Syngnathiformes, Syngnathidae. The transcript has 6 exons.
CCCACCAAGCUGCAUUCAUCCGAAGGCCACAUGCGUUUUAUAUUGGCCACAUGCACAACUGGGUUAUUUGCUCGGGCGGAGAUCUUGCUUUGAGACUCAAAUAACAUUGAUUCUUUUAUGAGACUUUUGAAAUGUUGACUGGCAUCUAUUUGUGAGAUUCUGAUCUUUUCUGUGCCACCUUUGUCUUGUUUGCAGUCCCCCCCCACCUCCCACCUCCCUGGGACCAAGCACACAUCAGUGAGGGCUUUAAGAGGUGGUGUGGAUUCCAUUUUGGAGAGGAUCAUUUUUUGGCACCUGGAAGUGGCUUGGAGCUUUGGGAGAAUUGCGGUCCUCAGGAAGCCACAACGUCACAAUGUAUGUCACUUAUUUUCCUGUCUGCAAAUAGUUAAGCCGAAGACGUACUUUUGGACACACUUUGAUCUUGAGUAUACUUUCGGUCACAAUUAUGUCGUUAAAAUUUGAACUUGAACAAUUUGAAACAAUGGUUACAAUGGUUUAAAGUCGACUUCAAUGAAGCUUAAUAUUUCAUAGAAACGUGAAGUGGUUCACAGUAAUUGAUGAAAUACACAUCCACUUGAAAGUUUUUGGACCCCUUCUCGAUGAAAUACAACUAGUGGUCGCUGGUGUGAAAUCCACUUUGAGGAGGUCAAAUCUUCCCACUGGGAGUGUGAAGAGGAAACUAAACUAAAAAUAAAAAUUCAAAACUGUUGUCCUUCAAGAGCAGAAUUGGGCAGAAUUGCGGUAUUGAAACCUGAAACCCGACGAUGUAUUUUGAGGUCUGAUUUAGUGGCUAAAAUUGAGUGUGACUGUUAGACGUUAGUUGAGUUCGAGUUACUGGUAAAACUUUAAUUCAGAUUUCAGAUUGGCAUGGCUAAGAAUCAGCACAGACGAUCAUGCUAUUUAGCUAAAAAAGAAAAAAAAUCUUUUUUUAAAAUGUUUGUAUUUUUUGCCUCGCUUAAAAUUUUAGAUUAAAACUAAAGGCUAAGUGUUUGUCCUAAAUCGGACCUGCACACGUUUGCAGUGGCUUUGCUGGGAACAGGAGCGUCGCCGUCGGCCGUACGACAGGAGCCCUUAGCCCUUAUUUCAAAUCUGGACACGAGCCCUUAUAGACUACUUGUAUAAUCGCAAUUGAAGAAAAAUAAGAACGAAAACUGAUUGUUUUGUGCAUUUAUUUUUAAAGAUCGCACAAAUGAGUAAAACCAUAUAUUAGCACCCUUUAACCCUUUUUAAGAUGGAGAUCAAAUAAAGCAGAAAUGACGGCGUAAAAUAACACCAAAUAUAACAUUUACUGAACAGUGACUGCAGACAUAUCAAACAAAGCACAUAUGAUUUUUUGCACUACUGCAAACAAUGGCAAUUUUGAAAUCGAAGACAAUGUCCCGCAGCAUGUAAAGUUUCAGCCUGUCUGUGCAUACUCAUUUUUGUUUUUGUUUACCAGCAUAAUAUUUAAGACAGACAAGAAGUACCAGGGGAAGUUUGGGUAUCCCUGCUGAAACAACAUCCCCCGCGACAUGACCCGUAAAAGCGGGAGAAAAUGGAUGAAGUAAACUCUCUCGCCUCUGGACAUGUCCAAACCAUGGAAAUCUGCUCUCUCGAACCUUGUCUCCAAAACAUCCAACUUUGACUGUCCCUCUAAUGAGCUCAUCUCUAAUCCUAUCCAACCUGCUCACCCCGAGCAAAAACUUCAUUUCUGCCACCUCCAGUUCUGCUUCCUGUUGUUUCUUCAGUGCCACCGUCUCUAAUCCGUCCAUCAUGGCUGACCUCACCACUGUUUGAUAAACUUUGCCCUUCAUCCUAACAGAGAGACUCUUCUGUCACAUAGAACACCAGACACCUUCCUCCAACUGUUCCACCCCGCUUGGACCCGUUUCUUCACUUCCUUACCACACUCCCCGAUGCUUUGUAUUGUACACCAAGUAUUUGAAGUCAUCCACCUUCGGUAUCUCUUCUCCCUUUAGCCUCACUCUUCCCCCUCCACCCCUCUCAGGAUCCCCCCAAAAAACAUGUUGCAUCAUUACCAAAGAAUAAUGGCUCUGAUUUCAAUGAUUUUAAUCUGAAUUAUAAUUUUUUUUGUCCAAUAUUUAUAUUAAUCUUGAAUGAUUUAAGCAACUAGCUAAAGAGAAAUUUUAGGGGGUCUUUGGGUUACUUUUGUAGACUGUUAAAAUGGCAUUACUUUCCUUUUCUGUUUUUAAGUGUUAAGGUGCAGUUGUGACCAGGAUGAGCGACUCCACACGGAUCAUGUGGUUCACAACCCAGUUGGCCAAGACGAUGGGAGGAAACGCGCUCGUCUCAAGUACGCGAGGACAAUUCAUCGACGACGAUGGCGUGAUUGCUGUAGCUGACGUACGUCGUCUUAGUGGAUGAAGCUGCGCGACAAAAGAGGGGACGGUUAUUUUGGCGGGGAAAUGGCCAGCUGUGUUCUUAGUGGUUAGAGAACACGAGCUAAAUGUGGGCCUUGACCCUUCAGCGCAUUUGUCCACCAACAGAAGAUGGGAGGAAGUGCACGCCACACUUGGAUCGGCUCCGUCUUGACUUCUCCAUUGGGUCGAUCGCUCCCCUUCUGCGACAGCUUCCCGGACAUGGUCGCCGCGGUCACGAUGGCCUAGUGGACGGACAAACACGGGAGUCACCCAUUGUAUCAUUCCACACACACAAAGUACU